GAUGAAGAACGCAGCGAAAUGCGAUAAGUAGUGUGAAUUGCAGAUUUCAGUGAAUCAUCGAAUCUUUGAACGCACAUUGCGCCCUUUGGUAUUCCUUAGGGCAUGCCUGUUCGAGCGUCAUUUAAACCUUCAAGCUAAGCUUGGUGUUGGGUGACUGUCCGCUUCACGGCGGACUCGCCUCAAAAUUAUUGGCGGCCGGUACAUUGGCUUCGAGCGCAGCAGAAACGCGAACUCGGGCCCGUCGUAUUGGCUCCCAGAAGCUAUCUUCACAAUUUUGACCUCGGAUCAGGUAGGGAUACCCGCUGAACUUAAGCAUAUCAAUAAGCGGAGGA
RNAcentral lists this unclassified non-coding RNA (332 nucleotides) under soil metagenome. Its description in RNAcentral is "partial contains 5.8S ribosomal RNA, internal transcribed spacer 2, and large subunit ribosomal RNA". The stretch from base 1 to 120 matches the Rfam family "5.8S ribosomal RNA", at positions 35 to 154 of the family's 154-position model. The record is from RNAcentral.